Molecule: small nucleolar RNA, 138 nt
Filed under: Ornithorhynchus anatinus (platypus)
Lineage: Eukaryota; Metazoa; Chordata; Mammalia; Monotremata; Ornithorhynchidae
Source: RNAcentral
UUCCUCUCAAGGUCACACCUGGAGAGUUCCCAGUACUCUACCAGUCUCGGCUACGGGAGGGAGAGUCAGGCAAAGGCCUACCCAUUCCAUUCCUAGCUUGGCCAGUGGUGAGGGAAUGGAAGGCAAUCUGCUACAAGC